This 609-nucleotide long non-coding RNA is filed under the name Olea europaea subsp. europaea. Lineage: Eukaryota; Viridiplantae; Streptophyta; Magnoliopsida; Lamiales; Oleaceae. The record is from RNAcentral.
UUGCAUUUCAUUUUCCGAUCUUCAGUUUCUUGUUUUCUUUCUUGCGUUAUGGCUAGCACUGCUGGAAUUGAGACUUCUCUUUCUGACUUGAACGAUAUUGAGUUCUCAGAUAUCGAUAGUGACCCUUCUUAAGUCAUUACUUGAAGAGUCGCCAUUAAAGGGUACUAGAGACGAUGAAAUGUCAAUAAAUGUAAUCUGAUCUUUAGAAGAAGAGAUUUUGGAUCAUAAUUUGUUCCCCGAGACUUGUAAAGAAUGCUAUGUCGAUGAUUGUCCAUCACUCGAUUUGGAUCUAAUGGACAGUUGUUCAACAUCAUCAGAUAGUCUUGAUAUUAGUCGAACAAGAGAUUAUAAGAACAAUUAUUUGACGGAGCAUGGUGUAGAAGAAUUUGUAGGCAUUAAGGAUUAUUCACAAGAUUAUGGGCCACCCUUGGAGGAGAUGGAAUAUAUCUCUUUGUGGCAAGAAACUUAUCAGUACACAACAUAUGGCUAAAAUCUAGUUUUUUUUUUUUUUUUUGGAUUAAAAAAAAAAUGAUUCAAUUUAUUGUACUCUUGCUUCGGCAAUAGUUGAUAUUUGUGUACAUUCUAAUAGUAAAUUGAACUUUAUGUCAG